UAUGUUUAUGACGGUGCGAAGUAGCA
This 26-nucleotide small RNA is filed under the name Bombyx mori (domestic silkworm). Its description in RNAcentral is "ovarian small RNA-24059". The record is from RNAcentral. Lineage: Eukaryota; Metazoa; Arthropoda; Insecta; Lepidoptera; Bombycidae.